GUAUAGUAGUGCGUGUGCACAACAAUAAUUUCAUUACAUUCGAGUGUGUGUAAAUCCUCUGCCCGCCGAAGCAAGCAAGAGGCCAAAGGUUCACAGGGGACUGGAUGAAAGUCACCAGCGUGCACUUGCCAGAGCUGGCCAGCACUGAAGGCAACGAUUCACAAUCAAUAAUGAUCCUUCCGCAGGUUCACCUACGGAAA
RNAcentral lists this unclassified non-coding RNA (200 nucleotides) under uncultured fungus. RNAcentral's name for it is "sequence contains ITS1". The record is from RNAcentral. Lineage: Eukaryota; Fungi.